Molecule: ribosomal RNA, 976 nt
Filed under: Armatimonadota bacterium
Lineage: Bacteria; Bacillati; Armatimonadota
Description: bacterial SSU rRNA
Rfam family: Bacterial small subunit ribosomal RNA
Source: RNAcentral
UUGGAGAGUUUGAUGGUGGCUCAGGGCGAACGCUAGCGGUGUGGAUAAGGCAUGCAAGUCGAGCGGAGGGAAGUAGGUCAAGCCGAAAGGUUUGACCGACGCCCUCAGCGGCGAACGGGUGAGUAACGCGUGCCUAACCUGCCCCGCAGAGUGGAAUAACCCCGGGAAACUGGGGCUAAUUCCACAUACGCUCCACAUGGCGCAUGCCAUGUGGAGGAAAGGGUUGGACGAGGAGUCCUUCCGCUGCGGGAGGGGGGCGCGUCCCAUCAGCUUGUUGGUGGGGUAACGGCCCACCAAGGCUACGACGGGUAGCGGGCCUGAGAGGGUGGUCCGCCACACCGGGACUGAGACACGGCCCGGACCCCUACGGGGGGCAGCAGUCGAGGAUCUUGGGCAAUGGGCGAAAGCCUGACCCAGUGACACCGCGUGGGGGAAGAAGCCCUGCGGGGUGUAAACCCCUGUGGCAGGGGAAGAAAGCCCAAGUUUCCCUUGGGCUUGACGGUACCCUGCUAGAAAGCCCCGGCUAACUGCGUGCCAGCAGCCGCGGUAAUACGCAGGGGGCGAGCGUUGCCCGGAUUUACUGGGCUUAAAGGGCCCGUAGGCGGUUGCCUAAGUCCCAUGUGAAAGCCUCAGGCUCAACCUGAGGAGGACAUGGGAUACUGGGCAACUUGAGGGCGGAAGAGGCCGGCGGAACGGCGGGUGUAGCGGUGAAAUGCGUAGAUAUCCGCCGGAACACCAAUGGCGAAGGCAGCCGGCUGGGACGCCCCUGACGCUGAGGGACGAAACCCUGGGGAGCGAACCGGAUUAGAUACCCGGGUAGUCCAGGGUGUAAACGUUGUGCGCUAGGUGUGGGGAGUUUUACUCUCCCUGUGCCGUAGGGCAACCAUUAAGCGCACCGCCUGGGGAGUACGGCCGCAAGGCUGAAACCCAAACCAAUUGACGGGGGCCCGCACAAGCGGUGGAGCAUGCGGCUUAA